GAUGAACGCUGGCGGCGUGCCUAAUACAUGCAAGUCGAGCGAACGGACGAGAAGCUUGCUUCUCUGAUGUUAGCGGCGGACGGGUGAGUAACACGUGGAUAACCUACCUAUAAGACUGGGAUAACUUCGGGAAACCGGAGCUAAUACCGGAUAAUAUUUUGAACCGCAUGGUUCAAAAGUAAAAGACGGUCUUGCUGUCACUUAUAGAUGGAUCCGCGCUGCAUUAGCUAGUUGGUAAGGUAACGGCUUACCAAGGCAACGAUGCAUAGCCGACCUGAGAGGGUGAUCGGCCACACUGGAACUGAGACACGGUCCAGACUCCUACGGGAGGCAGCAGUAGGGAAUCUUCCGCAAUGGGCGAAAGCCUGACGGAGCAACGCCGCGUGAGUGAUGAAGGUCUUCUGAUCGUAAAACUCUGUUAUUAGGGAAGAACAUAUGUGUAAGUAACUGUGCACAUCUUGACGGUACCUAAUCAGAAAGCCACGGCUAACUACGUG
RNAcentral lists this ribosomal RNA (497 nucleotides) under uncultured bacterium. RNAcentral describes it as "partial 16S ribosomal RNA". It matches the Rfam family "Bacterial small subunit ribosomal RNA", at positions 28 to 507 of the family's 1533-position model. The record is from RNAcentral.